CAGUCGCCGCGGGAAUACGAAGGGGGCUAGCGUUGUUCGGAAUUACUGGGCGUAAAGCGCACGCAGGCGGCUCGAUAAAUUAGAAGUGAAAGCCUUGGGCUUAACCUGAGAAUUGCUUUUAAGACUGUCGAGCUAGAAUCCAGAAGAGGGUAGUGGAAUUCCGAGUGUAGAGGUGAAAUUCGUAGAUAUUCGGAAGAACACCAGUGGCGAAGGCGACUACCUGGCCUGGCAUUGACGCUCAUGUGCGAAAGCGUGGGGAGCAAACAGGAUUAGAGACCCCUGUAGUCCCUGUCUCUUAUAC
RNAcentral lists this ribosomal RNA (301 nucleotides) under uncultured bacterium. RNAcentral describes it as "partial 16S ribosomal RNA". It matches the Rfam family "Bacterial small subunit ribosomal RNA", at positions 509 to 807 of the family's 1533-position model. The record is from RNAcentral.